CAGUCGCCGCGGGAACACGAAGGGGGCUAGCGUUGUUCGGAAUUACUGGGCGUAAAGCGCACGUAGGCGGAUAUUUAAGUCAGGGGUGAAAUCCCGCAGCUCAACUGCGGAACUGCCUUUGAUACUGGGUAUCUUGAGUAUGGAAGAGGUUAGUGGAAUUGCGAGUGUAGAGGUGAAAUUCGUAGAUAUUCGCAGGAACACCAGUGGCGAAGGCGGCUAACUGGUCCAUAACUGACGCUGAGGUGCGAAAGCGUGGGGAGCAAACAGGAUUAGAUCCCGCGUAGUCCCUGUCUCUUAUACA
Molecule: ribosomal RNA, 301 nt
Filed under: uncultured bacterium
Lineage: Bacteria
Description: partial 16S ribosomal RNA
Rfam family: Bacterial small subunit ribosomal RNA
Source: RNAcentral